Molecule: long non-coding RNA, 8884 nt
Filed under: Vitis vinifera (wine grape)
Lineage: Eukaryota; Viridiplantae; Streptophyta; Magnoliopsida; Vitales; Vitaceae
Description: long non-coding RNA (VVIN_LNC004390)
Source: RNAcentral
AGAUCUGCAUUAUAAAUAGAGAAGCAUAUGUUAGCCUAAUAUUUCAUCAAAUAUCACACACUUUCUCUCUUUUCUAGUUUUCUGAUCAGGCAAAUUAAGAAGGGUUAAAAAUGGUGUUCUCAGCCAUACUAAGUUGCUUUGUUCCAUCAUCUUCCUCGUCCCGAGUCUACAAUGAUGCUGGUGGGUCUAGUGUGAAGGGACCUAAGAGCAAGUCAUCGAAAUCUUCAUCAAGAGCUCCGAUUCCGGUCUCUUACUUCCCUGUUAACUCCUACCUCUCUCGCAUGUAGUGAUUAAUUUCAUUGCAAGGUGGAGUUAGAAUUUGAAGAGUAUGAAUGGAUCAUUGAUUCAGUCUAGGUAUCAUAUGAUGGGGUUCUUCAUCAUGCAGUCGCUCAAGGAGUGAUGACGGAGUUGGUUUUCAUGUACAGUUUGAUUGAAGAAUAUUGUAUUAGAUCUUCAUCUUGUUAAUUUCCUCCAACUGCAUGCAAUAAACAGUUCUUUUUAAUAGAAAGUUGGGUACGAUGAUACCAUGAAAUUACCUGCAACCAAAUAAGACAUCAGCCCCUACUAUGAAAAUUAAGAAACACACAAAAAAGUUCAGUUGGGGUUUCCAUUGGAAAGAAUCGGUACUUGAAAUAUUGGCAAUCAGUGAUUACCAUAUGUAUAACUGCUAAGUAAACCCUAGAAUCAGUUAGGGUUUACCAUCAUCGAAGACAAAGGUUGUUCGUAUCAUAUAUUAAGCAAAAACUACUUACAUCAUACAGAAGAUAAUCAGUAAGGGAAGAAGUCUUAAAAAAAGAAAAGGAAACUGAACCUACGAUUUUGGAGAAAUUAGGGUGUAAUUUGAUCCACAAGGUGAUGACUGAUGAGUAGAUAUGCAUGGUGGGAUUUGCCCCAGCGGUCCAUGAUGAUAGAAGGCUAUUAUCCUUUUACACAAGCACUAAAAGAAAAAGGAAAAAUUAAGCCGCCAUGCUUUGUCUUUUCAUCCGCCCAAAAGUCUUGCAAUAUGCACCUCAAAUCAAACCUAAGAGUAUCAAUCACUCUCUUUCUCUCCAUCCAUUAAAAAGUAUUAAUUUCAAACUUGUGAUAUCUCACAUUGUAGGAAAUAAUAGCCUAAUAUUAUAUAUGUAUAGGUUUUUUAAUUUUGUACAUGUACUUUAAAGUUGUGAAUAUUGUUGAACUUAAAAUGGAUAAUAUCUACAUGAAAAAGAGUAAGUCAUUACAAAUGAUAUUAAAAUUGAUCAUCAAUCUUAAUGUGAGAGUUUAUUUGACCCUGCAAUGAAUCUUUUUAUUUCUAUGAUCCUAUGAGAUACCACAAAGAUAUUGUGUACUCAUAUGAGGGUGCGUUAUAUAUGUAUUGAUUCUUCUUCUUCUUAUAAAUAAAUUUUAAAGUUGUGAGUGCCUAUGAGACCCAAAGCGGAUUAGUACAAAUAUUUAUAUAGACUUACAUUUAAAUCUAAUAAAAUAUUAUUUGUUAUAUUAAAAUAAAUUGUUGUUUUUUUAAAUGAAUUGGAAAUAUUUUGAAGUGUUUGUUUAUAAAGAAUUUUAAUAAAUAAUUGAAGAUAUGAAGAUUGAUUGUAGGGGACUCCUGACAUGUGUUCAACAUUUCAAAUAUUGGCGAGUACCUAAGAUAUUUAUUUGAUAUUAUUCCAAAGGAGACUUUAGCUAAUAUGCUUUAAUUUUCUUAAUAGUUUUGGUCCCACCCUCUAUUUGUUUGUUCCCUAGAGCUUCAUAUAUAUAUAUUAGACUAGUCAAAAUUUGAAAGGUAAUAUAAUUUGACAUGAUUUGUCUUCAGACUUGGACGCUACAUUCCCCCUGUACAAAAGUUUGACUGUUAAUUCGGUUUUUUUCUAUAGUCAGAUUAAGCUGGCAGCAGCCGGCACGAUUGUCACAGGAAGCGCAAGGGAAUUUACCAUCUCAUAGAUUAAUCAAUUAGCUUUCCUUGCUAUGCAAGUAAAUCAACCCUACUUCCAUUUCAUAUCUGCAUUAUAAAUAGAGAAGCAUAUGUUAGUCUAAUAUUUCAUCAAAUGUCACACACUUCCUCUCAUUUCUAGUUUUCUCAGGAAAAUUAAGACGGGUUAAAAAUGGUCUUCUCAGCCAUAUUAAGUUGCUUUGUGCCAUCAUCUUCCUCGUCCCGAGUCUUCAAUGAUGCUGGUGGGUCUAGUGUGAAGGAACCUAAGAGCAAGUCAUCGAAAUCUUCAUCAAGAGCUCCGAUCCCGGUCUCUUACUUCCCUGUUAACUCAUACCUCUCUCGCUUGUAGUGAUUAAUUUCAUGGCAAGGUGGAGUUAGAAUUUGAAGAAUAUCAAUCGAUUAUUCAUUCAGUCUAGGUAUCAUAUGAUGGGGUUCUUCAUCAUGCAGUUGCUUGAGGAGCGAUGAUGGAGUUUGUUUUAAUGUACAGUUUGAUGAUUAAUUUGCAAUAAUUUGAUUGAAGAAUAUUGUAUUAGCUAGAUCUUCAUCUUGUUAAUUUCCUCCAACUGCAUGCAAUGAAACAGGUGUUUGAUGAUACCAUGGAAUUACCUGCAAAUAAAUAAGACAUCAAAACCAAUCUGAAAAUUCAGAAACAGCAAAAAAUUAAGUUCAGUUGGCCGGGGAUUCCAUUGGAAAUUAAGAAUCGGUACUUGAAAUGGAAAUUAGUGAUUACCAUAUGGAUAACAGCUAAUAAAACCCCAGAAUCAAUUAGGGUUUAUCAUCAUAUAUUAAGCAAAAACUACGUGCAUUAUACAGAUGAUGAUUGGUAAAGGAAGAAGUCUUAAAAAUGCAUGCCAAUGGAAAAAUUAGGGUGAAAUUUGAUCAACAGAGUGAUGAUUAGGUAUGCAUGAUGGGAUUUUCCCAAUCCGUCCAUGAUGAUAAAAGCCUAUUAUUCUUGUAAACAUGUACUAAAAGAAAAAGGAAAAAUUAAGCCCUCCUACUUUUCCUUUUCACCCCCCAAAAAGUCUCCACUAUGCACCUCAAAUCAAACCUAAAAAUCUCUAUCACUCUCUUUGUGUCCAUUGGUUAAGAAGUACUAAUUUCAAUAUUGUGAUAUCUCACAAGUAUAGAAAAAAAGUUUUUAACACUAUAUAUACACGAACUCCUUUUAAUCUAAUAAAGUCAUGAGUAUCUGUCAUACUAAGAACAAACAAUAUCUAUGUGAGAGAAAAAAAGUUGUUAUAAAUAGUAUUAGAGUUUAUCUUUGAUUUCGUUGUAGAAGUUUGUUUGACCCCACGAGGGGUAUCUGUUUCUUUAAUCCCACAAUCCUACUGAACAUAGUUAAGACGUUGUAUUCGUAUGAGAGUCUAUUCAUGUAUUAAUUCCUCUUAACCUAAUACACUACUUAUAAAGUUGUGAGUACGUAUUAAACUUAGAAUAUGUACUCAUAGUAGGUCAUUACAAAUAUUUAUGCGGACUUACAUUUAAAUCCAAUAAAAUAGUGUUACACAAAUAUUAUAUAAGUAUGAAACACACUCUCAUUUGAGUAUAUAUAUAUAUAUAUAUAUAUAUAUGUACACUACCGAAUAAUGGUUCCUUAAUUUGAUUAUAUGUCUAAACUAGACAAUUGAUAAAAAAAAUACUUUGAAAUGAAAUUGAUGUAAAAGAAAAUAAUGAGUUAUAUAAAGAGUAAUUAAUGCGACCUUUGGCCUUAUAAUUAAGUAUGGUUAAAUUACAUUUUUUAAUUCUCUUAGUAUGUGAGACCCAAAUUAUUGAAUAUUUUUUUAGGUUGUUAUUCAAUUGAUGAGAAUGACAAAUUUAUGGCUACCAACAAUGAUGUUUAUUAUUUAAAGCUACUCAUUUUGAAGAAGUCGCAUACCAAUCCUUAAACUAAAUCAAUUAGGUCUUAACUACUUUUUUAUUUAAUUUUUUUUUUGUAAUGAGUUGGUCAACACUGAAGCCUUAAUUUUAUGUUUGAAAACUUUAUUUUAAAUACACUUCUAUUAAAAAUAAGAAUAAUGUUAGUAUAUUUAAUAGUUAUUACUACUUUGGUCCCACUCUGGAUGUGUUCGUUCUCUGAAGCUUCCCAUUUUCUCUCGAAGGUAAUUUUUGUCUAAUGUCUCUCUAAGUUUUGAAAAGUUUUCUCAAAGACUUGGCCACCACAUCCCCCCUGGACAAAAGUUUAAUUUGGUCAAAUUAAGCAGCCAGAAUUUUCUCCAGAAGCUCAAGGGAACCAUCUCACAUAUUAUUUGGAUUUCCUUUCUAUGCAAGCAAAUCAGCACUAUAAAUAGCGAACAUCUUGGCAUAAUGUUUCAUCGGUCAUACUUCCUCUCAAUAUUUCUGGUUUUCUCAGACAAAUUAAGAAGGGUGAAGAAUGGGGUUCUCAGCUAUACUAAGUUGCUUUGUGCCAUCAUCUUCCUCAUCCCGAGUCUUCAAUGAUGCUGGUGGGUCUAGUGUGAAGGAACCUAAGAGCAAGUCAUCGAAAUCUUCAUCAAGAGCUCCUAUCCCUGUCUCUUACUUCCCCGUUAACUCCUACCUCUCUCGCUUGUAGUGAUUAAUUUCACUGCAAGAGUUAGAAUUUGAAGAGUAUGAAUGGAUCAUUGAUUCAGUCUAGGUAUCAUAUGAUGGGGUUCUUCAUCAUGCAGUCGCUCAAGGAGUGAUGAUGGAGCUGGUUUUCAUGUAUUGUUUGAUGAUUAAUUUGCAAUAAUUUGAUUCAAGAAUAUCGUAUUAGAUCUUCAUCUUGUUAAUUUCCUCCAACUGCAUGCAAUGAAACAGCUGUUCGAUGAUACCAUGGAAUUACCUGCAAACAAAUAAGACAUCAAUCCCAAUUCUGAAAAUUCAGAAACAAGAAGAAAUUAAGUUCAGUUGGGGUUUCCAUUGGAAAUUAAGAAUUGGUACUUGAAAUGGCAAUAAGUGAUAACCAUAUGCGUACAGCUAGUUAAACCCCAGAAUCAGUUAGGGUUUAUCAUCAUGUAUUAAGCAAAAACUACUAAUUACAUUAUACAGAUGAUGAUCUAAAAGGAAGAAGUCUUAAAAGCCUAUUAUUCUUGUUUCCACAUGCACUAAAGGAAAACGGAAAAAUAAAGCCACCUGCUUUGCCUUUUCAUUCUCCCAAAAGUCUCCAAUAUGCACCUCAAAUCAAACCUAUGAAUCUCUGUCACUCUCUUUCUCUCCAUUAGUUAAGAAGUACUAAUUUCAAUACUGUGAAAUCUCACAAAUAUAGGAAAAAAUUUCCUAAUGCUAUAUAUACAUGAAUUCCUUUAAAUUUUAUAAAUUCAUUUUGAAGUUGAGUACCUUUUAAACUUAGAACGAGAACAAGUUGUUAUAAAUAGUAUUAAAGCCGAUCUUUGACCUUAUGUGAGAGUUUGUUUGACUCUAUAAGGGAUAUUUGACUUCUUUUUUUUUGUUCCACAAACUUAUGAAACAUAAUGAAAACAUUGUAUUUGUAUGAGAAUAUGUUAUUUAUGUAUGGACUUCUCUUAACCUGGUAUGAAACUUUUGAAGUUAUGAGUAUUUAUUGAACUCCGAGUAAGUUAUUAUAAAUAUUUAUGCAGACUUAUAUUCAAAUCCAGUAAAAUAGUGGGGAAAAGAUAAAAAACAUAACUUCAAUAUUAUUUGUUACACUUUUGGACUCAUGACCUCCUAUUGCAUAAACCUGAUUUUAAUAUACCAUCUUAAGUUAUUAAUUUUUUUAAAUACAUAAAUUGUUAGGUAAUAGACUAGUGAUGUAUCGGCUCUAACAUGUUGGACUUAUCUUUAAAUUGAACAUGUCCAACAUACUUGUUAGUGGAACCUAAUUAAUUGUUCAUUUGAAAGUGUCUUUUCCAUUCAUCUAAAACGUGCACAGUAAAUUCACAAACCCACCAAACUUGAUGGAACCAUUGGCUGAACAUACCAACUAUAUGUUAGCUAGCUUGCUCUUCCUUUCUCUACAUGGUAAGUAACAAAGGGGUAUUUAAUGUUUUAAUUAAAGUCAUUAAAUUUGGUAACUUCGCUGUUACAAAGAUCAACAACAAAAGUACCAAGAUUCAUAAAUAAGUUCAUCAUUUUCUUGUUCUUAGCAUUUGUAUCUAAGUGAAGCUAUGAAAAGAGUUCAAUUCUUUGUUACCCCACAAACCACAAUCAUUUUUCUUGCUAUUAGCAUCACUUCUAAUAAGUCAAUGUUGCCAUAACUCUUUCGGGUGUUCUACACUUUUAAAACUGCAUUGAUUUUUUUUUUUUUUUUUAAUUAUGAGUUUCUUUGUUCUCUAAAAUAUGGGUGAAUUAUACUAAGAAGUAUAAAUUCAGGAUUGAGAUUUAUAUCUAAAAAUUCAUAAAAGUUACAUUUGAUUUUUAAAAUAAUGCUUUUAGUAUUUUAAAAACUUUGCCAAUUGGGUUUAAAAAUUAGGCCAUUGAUAAAAAAAAUAUAAGGUUAAAAAAAAGAGAGUUAUAUAUAAAGUAGUGAGACCUUAUUUGACCUUACAAUUAAGUGUGGUUAAAUUACAUUUUUUAAUCCUUUUGGAAUGUAGAGACCCAAAUUAAUGAACAUUUUUUUAAGGGUGUUAUUCAAUUUAUGAGAAUGGCAAAUUUCCGGCUACCAACAAUGAUGUUUAUUAUUUAAGGCUACUAAUUUUGAAGAAGUCAACCACCAAUCCUUAAACUAAAUCAAUUAGGUCUUAACUACUUUUUUUCUUUAAUUUUUCUUGUAAUGAGUUGGUCAACCCUGAAGCCUUAAUUUUAUGUUUGAAAACUUUAUUUUAAAUACACUUCUAUUAAAAAUAAGAAUAAUGUUACCACCAUGGAUGUGUUUGUUCUCUGAAGCUUCCCAUUUUCUCUCAAAGGUAAUUUUUGUCUAAUGUCUUCCUAUUAUGAUUGUAUGUAAGAGUCUAAGUUUUGAAAAGUUUUCUCAAAGACUUGGCCACCACAUCCCCCGUGGACAAAAGUUUAAUUUGUCAAAUUAAGCAGCCAGAAUUUUCUCCACAAGCUCAAGGGAACCAUCUCAAAUAUUAUGUGGAUUUCCUUUCUAUGCUACCAAAUCAGCACUAUAAAUAGAGAGGCAUCUUGGCCUAAUACGUCAUCGGUCAUACUUCCUCUCAAUAUUUCUAGUUUUCUAAGGAGGGUGAAGAAUGGAGUUCUCAGCCAUACGAAGUUGCCUUGUGCCAUCAUCUUCCUCAUCCCGAGUCUUCAAUGAUGCCGGUGGUCUAUUGUGAAGGAACCUAAGAGCAAGUCAUCAAAAUCAUCAGCAAGAGCUCCGAUCCCGGUCUCUUACUUCACUGUUAACUCCUUCCUCUCUCGAUUGUAGUGAUUAAUUUCAUUGCAAGGUGGAGUUAGAAUUUGAAAAGAAUAUCAAUGGAUCAUUGAUUCAGUCUAGGUAUUAUAUGAUGGGUUCUUCAUCAUGCGGUUGAUUGAGAAGUGAUGAUAGAGUUUGUUUUUCAUGUACUGUACUUUGAUGAUUGAUUUGUAAUUUGAUUCAAGCGCAUUAUGUUAGAUCUUCAUAUCGUGAAUUUCCUCCUACCGGCUGCAAUGAAACAGCUGUUUUAAUACAAAUAAUUAAGACAUCAACCCCAGGUCGAUUUUGUCAUAAGUACUUUUUCAGGUGUUCUAUACUUUUUUGAAAGCGCGGACACGACAUUUCUUGAGAGAAUUAAAAUUAGAGUCAAAGCCGUCUCAACGCAAACGUCAUCCAUUAGAGUUUGAGAUCAGGAUAAGAAAAGAAAAAAAAGAAGGUUGAAUGAAUCAAUGGAUGUUAAUUGAUGUCCAAUUUGUGAACGUGCUUGUGUGUCUAUAUAUAUAUAUAUAUAGAAAGAAAGUAUCUCAUCCGUUAAAGUUUGUGAUCAGGAUAAGAGAAAAAAAAAAAAAGGCCGGUUGAAUGAAUCAAUGGGGUUAAUUGAUGUAUAAUUUGUGAGCGUGAUUGUGUGCCUAGAAAGUAUCUCGUCCAUUAGAGUUUGUGAUCAGGAUAAGAGAAAGAAAAAGGUUGAAUGAAUCAAUGGGGGUUAAUUGAUGACUAAUAUGAGAGAGAGAGAGAGAGAGAGAGAGAGAGAGAGAGUAUUGCAUACUUUUUGGAGGAUUAAAAGGCAAAGGGCAUAGGCUUUUAUGAUCAUGGACCUAUAGGGCAAAUCCCACCAUGCAUACCUAAUCAUCACUCUGUGGAUCAAAUUUCACCCGAAUUCCUCCAAAAUUCAUCUGUAUUAUGUAGGUAGUUUUUGCUUAAUACAUGAUAAACCCUAAUUGAUUUUGGGCUUUAAUUAGCUCUUAUCCCUAUGGUUUACCUAUAUUGCUCAAUUCUUUCCAUUGGAAAAUUCUUACUGAACUUCUUUUGUUGUUUCUAAAUUUUCAGAAUAGGGUUGAUGCCUUAUUUGGUUGCAGUUAAUUUCAUGGUAUCAUUGUGCCGGACUUUCGAUUAAAAACAGCUGUUUUAUGGCAUGCAGUUGGAGAAAAUUAACAAGAUGAAGAUCUAAUACCAUAUUCUUGAAUCAAAUUAUUGCAAAUCAAUCAUCAAACUGUACAUGAAAACCAGCUCCAUCAUCACUCUGCAUGACGAAGAACUCCAUCAUAUAAUAAUACCUAGACUGAAUCAAUGACCCAUUGAUACUCUUCAAAUUCUAACUCCACCUAGCAGUGAAAUUAAUCACUACAAGCGAGAGAGGUAGGAGUUAACGGGGAAGUAAGAGACCGGGAUCGGAGCUCUUGAUGAAGAUUUUGAUGACUUGCUCUUAGGUUCCUUCACACUAGAGCCACCAGCAUCAUUGAAGACUCGGGACGAGGAAGAUGAUGGCACAAAGCAACUUAGUAUGGCUGAGAACACCAUUUUUAACCCUUCUUUUGCCUGAUCAGAAAACUUGAAAUGAGAGGCAGUAUGAUUGAUGAGAUAUUAGGCUAAGAUGUUUCUCUAUUUAUACAGUAGAUUGGAAAUGGAAGUGGGGUUGAUUUACUUGCAUAGCAAGGAAAUAAAGCCAAAUCAUAUAUGAGAUGGUUCCCUUGAGUUUCUGGGGAAAAUUC